This 440-nucleotide ribosomal RNA is filed under the name uncultured bacterium. RNAcentral describes it as "partial 16S ribosomal RNA". It matches the Rfam family "Bacterial small subunit ribosomal RNA", at positions 338 to 795 of the family's 1533-position model. The record is from RNAcentral.
CCUACGAGAGGCAGCAGUGGGGAAUAUUGCACAAUGGGGGAAACCCUGAUGCAGCGACGCCGCGUGAAGGAAGAAGUAUUUCGGUAUGUAAACUUCUAUCAGCAGGGAAGAAAAUGACGGUACCUGACUAAGAAGCCCCGGCUAACUCCGUGCCAGCAGCCGCGGGAAUACGUAGGGGGCAAGCGUUAUCCGGAUUUACUGGGGGUAAAGGGAGCGGAGGCGGUUUAGCAAGUCAGAAGUGAAAGCCCGGGGCUCAACUCCGGGACUGCUUUUGAAACUGUUGAACUAGAGUGCAGGAGAGGUAAGUGGAAUUCCUAGGGGAGCGGUGAAAUGCGUAGAUAUUAGGAGGAACACCAGUGGCGAAGGCGGCUUACUGGACUGUAAAUGACGCUGAGGCUCGAAAGCGUGGGGAGCAAACAGGAUUAGAUACCCUAGUAGUC